AACAAGAAUGCUGACCAUCAAUGGUACCUGAAGAUGAGUGUAUACAACCCUGCUACGAUUUUCGGCAUUCAUGUUAGUUCGAACCCCGUCAAUCUCGCGUACUCGGAGAUCAAUGUCGCGACCGGUCAGUUGAAUAUUAUCAGCCAAGGAAGAGCCGUAGAACUGUAUCAAUUGUGUUGGAAGGCGAAAAGGUGCCACUUUAUGGAGCUGGAUCGAGCUUAACGUUUGCACAAAAUGGUGCUGCCCAAGUUCCAUUGAUGCUGAAGUUUGAAGUCCGGUCGAGAGGAAAUGUCGUCGGGAAAACUCGUGAGGACGAGGCACCGGAAACAAAUUUCUUGCCCUUUGGUAAUCGAUUCUGUGAAAACCAAGCUCCUUAAGUUCAAGAAAGACGAAUGCACGUACCAGUGAAAGUCGUUGUCGUCUCGUUGCUGCCACAUUCUGCCAUUAAAUCUCCAGCAUCGCCAUCGCUGGCCGAGCGAUAAAGGUGUUCCGUUGUCCCCUUUUCUUCGUUUUUCUUUGCGUCUUCUGUUAAGGGUGUAAAUGCUUGAUGUUUUGCUUAGUCUUUUUUGAGUUCUUUUUUUAUGGGAAAUAAACAAAUGUAUAGACGACAUAAGAGGUUUUUUGUGGUUGGUUUUGCUUAGGGAUGUUCAAAGAUAACAGAGCAAGAAUAAAGACAUCGUUUGAAUAUAA
Long non-coding RNA from Hibiscus syriacus, 690 nucleotides. RefSeq lists it as uncharacterized. Lineage: Eukaryota; Viridiplantae; Streptophyta; Magnoliopsida; Malvales; Malvaceae. The transcript is spliced from 2 exons. The record is from RefSeq and is a predicted model, not a curated record.